This 464-nucleotide ribosomal RNA is filed under the name uncultured bacterium. Its description in RNAcentral is "partial 16S ribosomal RNA". It matches the Rfam family "Bacterial small subunit ribosomal RNA", at positions 339 to 795 of the family's 1533-position model. The record is from RNAcentral.
CUACGGGGGGCUGCAGUGGGGAAUAUUGCACAAUGGGCGCAAGCCUGAUGCAGCCAUGCCGCGUGUAUGAAGAAGGCCUUCGGGUUGUAAAGUACUUUCAGCGGGGAGGAAGGGAGUAAAGUUAAUACCUUUGCUCAUUGACGUUACCCGCAGAAGAAGCACCGGCUAACUCCGUGCCAGCAGCCGCGGUAAUACGGAGGGUGCAAGCGUUAAUCGGAAUUACUGGGCGUAAAGCGCACGCAGGCGGUUUGUUAAGUCAGAUGUGAAAUCCCCGGGCUCAACCUGGGAACUGCAUCGGAUACUGGCAAGCUUGAGUCUCGUAGAGGGGGGUAGAAUUCCAGGUGUAGCGGUGAAAUGCGUAGAGAUCUGGAGGAAUACCGGUGGCGAAGGCGGCCCCCUGGACGAAGACUGACGCUCAGGUGCGAAAGCGUGGGGAGCAAACAGGAUUAGAUACCCGUGUAGUC